UGUCUCGUGUAUUCUUACUUUCCAUUUACAGAAGUAACCUCUCGCUUUCUCAAUUUUUAGGCCUUUUCUGAUGACAUUAAAAAAUGGCAGGAGCUAUCACCAGAAACCGGUGGAAAAAGGAAGAGAAAAGAAAUGAACCAGUACUCUUACAUCGAUUUCGAGUAGAACAAGGUGACAUAAAAAUAGAAAAGAGGAUGUUCUUUCUUGAAAAUGAGCGACGACAUUGUAGGUCCUAUGACCUGCGUGCUCUCCUUCCAGCUGUGCAACAAGAGCAGGAGUUCCAUGAGCAGAAAAUCAAAGGGAUGGCAGAGCAUGAAUACUUAGCUUACCCUGCAGAUGAAUGAAGAAUAGUAUCAAAAGGACGGCCAGCUGAUUGAGUGUCGCUGCUGCUAUGGGGAAUUUCCAUUCGAGGAGCUGACGCAGUGCACAGAUGCUCACUUGUUCUGCAAAGAGUGUCUCAUCAGAUACGCCCAAGAGGCAGUCUUUGGAUCUGGAAAGGUAAGAACUGUGUAAUACGUCCCAUGUAUAUAGGACACAUUCCUGGAGUCUAAGGAGACCAUGUUGAU
Molecule: long non-coding RNA, 566 nt
Filed under: Rhinopithecus roxellana (golden snub-nosed monkey)
Lineage: Eukaryota; Metazoa; Chordata; Mammalia; Primates; Cercopithecidae
Description: lncRNA (ENSRROG00000046056.1)
Source: RNAcentral